This 119-nucleotide ribosomal RNA is filed under the name Eucalyptus grandis. The record is from RNAcentral. Lineage: Eukaryota; Viridiplantae; Streptophyta; Magnoliopsida; Myrtales; Myrtaceae.
AGGUGCGAUCAUACCAGCACUAAUGCACCGGAUCCCAUCAGAACUCCGAAGUUAAGCGUGCUUGGGCGAGAGUAGUACUAGGUUGGGUGACCUCCUGGGAAGUCCUCGUGUUGCACCCC